GAGAUUCCGAAAGUAGCGGCGAGCGAAAUCGGAUUAGCCCUUAAGCUUUAGUGUAGUUAGUGGAACAUUCUGGAAAGUUUGACGAUACAGGGUGACAGUCCCGUACACAAAAACUUAUCUAAAGUGAAAUCGAGUAGGUCGGAGCACGUGAAACUUUGACUGAAUAUAGGUGGACCAUCAUCUAAGGCUAAAUACUCCCAACUGACCGAUAGUGAACCAGUACCGUGAGGGAAAGGUGAAAAGCACCCCGGGAGGGGAGUGAAAUAGAACCUGAAACCUUGUACGUACAAGCAGUGGGAGCCCUUCGGGGUGACUGCGUACCUUUUGUAUAAUGGGUCAGCGACUUAUUUUCAGUAGCAAGCUUAACCGAGUAGGGGAGGCGUAGGGAAACCGAGUCUUAAGAGGGCGUCAAGUUGCUGGAAUUAGACCCGAAACCGGG
Molecule: ribosomal RNA, 439 nt
Filed under: uncultured Symbiodinium
Lineage: Eukaryota; Dinophyceae; Suessiales; Symbiodiniaceae
Description: partial Bacterial large subunit ribosomal RNA
Rfam family: Bacterial large subunit ribosomal RNA
Source: RNAcentral